This 713-nucleotide long non-coding RNA is filed under the name Cricetulus griseus (Chinese hamster). Its description in RNAcentral is "lncRNA (ENSCGRG00015032214.1)". The record is from RNAcentral. Lineage: Eukaryota; Metazoa; Chordata; Mammalia; Rodentia; Cricetidae.
CUCGGGCGUGCCUGGAGGGGGUUGUCCAAGCAACCCCGGUGGAUAGCAAAUCUAAGUGAUGCGCUAGUAGCUUCCACCCAUACAGGGGAAAAAACACUUCGUUUCGAACUCCUCUCGCCAUGGGAACUUGACUUUGUUAUUUCUUUGUUUGUCCGCAGCUUUCAAAUCCAAGACUUCGGAAUCUGAGUCCCGCAGUUCGCGCAUCUACUCGCCUGUACUUGGAGCAGGGAAGCUUUCUUAGAGAUGCAGUGGCCCUCAAAGUGACAGAAAUCCAGCCAGAUGAAGCUCCUGUGAGAGAAGGGUGUAUUGUCCAGGUCACGCUGAAGGAGGAGGUUCAUGGAGACUGUCCACAGCAGGGUGUGGCAUCUGGGAUCUGUGCUCUACAGGAUAUAGGUUGAGAAACUGGUUUCAUCUAAACCCUUCAUUUGAGAUACCAAGAUACCAGACUGUGAAGUCCCAAUGUCAAAGAUGUGAAUUCUCAGCGUCCUGCUCCUACUGCCAUGCCUGACUGCCACGAUGGAUUCUUAUUCCCCUGGAAUCACAAGUCAAAUAAAUGCUUUCUUCCAUAAGUUGCUUUUUGGUCACGGUGUUUUAUCACAGCAACUGAAAAGUAAAUGAUACACUAGGCAUGCCUUCAAAAGGUAAAUCUUGUCCCCAGUCCCUAUGACCCUUCUCUGCUUCUUGGCUGCCAUGAGGUGAGCAGCCUUCUCCAG